GACGGGGGCCCGGCACGAAGCCGGGUGGAGCAUGUGGUUUAAUUCGAUGAUACGCGAGGAACCUUACCUGGGCUCAAAUGUAUGUUGACGUAUUUCUGAAGGGAUACUUCUUCGGACAAUAUACAAGGUGCUGCAUGGUUGUCGUCAGCUCGUGCCGUGAGGUGUCGGGGUUAAGUCCCAUAAACGAGCGCAACCCCUAUCAUUAGUUGCCAUCAGGUCAAGCUGGGGACUCUAAUGAAACUGCCUACGCAAGUAGUGAGGAAGGUGGGGAUGACGUCAAAUCAGCACGGCCCUUACGUCCAGGGCUACACACGUGCUACAAUGGCCGGUACAACGGGCAGCGAAGGAGCGAUCCGGAGCGAAUACCUAAAAAGCCGGUCCCAGUUCGGAUUGCAGGCUGAAACUCGCCUACAUGAAGUUGGAGUUGCUAGUAAUCGCGAAUCAGAAUGUCGCGGUGAAUGCGUUCCCGGGUCUU
RNAcentral lists this ribosomal RNA (475 nucleotides) under uncultured Sphingobacteriales bacterium. Its description in RNAcentral is "bacterial SSU rRNA". It matches the Rfam family "Bacterial small subunit ribosomal RNA", at positions 912 to 1382 of the family's 1533-position model. The record is from RNAcentral. Lineage: Bacteria; Pseudomonadati; Bacteroidota; Sphingobacteriia; Sphingobacteriales.